UUUCCGUAGGUGAACCUGCGGAAGGAUCAUUAAAGAGAUAGGGUCUUCAUGGCCCGACCUCCAACCCUCUGUUGUUAAAACUACCUUGUUGCUUUGGCGGGACCGUCUCGGUCUCCGAGCGCACUAACCCUCGGGUUGGUGAGCGCCCGCCAGAGUCUAACCAAACUCUUGUAUUAAACCAGUCGUCUGAGUAUAAAAUUUUAAUUAAAUUAAAACUUUCAACAACGGAUCUCUUGGUUCUCGCAUCGAUGAAGAACGCAGCGAAAUGCGAUAAGUAAUGUGAAUUGCAGAAUUCAGUGAAUCAUCGAAUCUUUGAACGCACAUUGCGCCCCUUGGUAUUCCGAGGGGCAUGCCUGUUCGAGCGUCAUUACACCACUCAAGCAUCGCUUGGUAUUGGGAACGGUCCGUCGAAAGGCGGGCCUUCCUCGAAGACCUCGGCGGGGUUCAACCAACUUCGGGCGUAGUAGAGUUAAAUCGAACGUCUUAUAAGCUUGGUCGGAUCUCAUUGCCGUUAAACCUUUAAAUUUUCUAGGUUGACCUCGGAUCAGGUAGGGAUACCCGCUGAACUUAAGCAUAUCAAUAAGCGG
Molecule: ribosomal RNA, 587 nt
Filed under: Hormonema sp.
Lineage: Eukaryota; Fungi; Ascomycota; Dothideomycetes; Dothideales; Dothioraceae
Description: eukaryotic LSU rRNA
Rfam family: 5.8S ribosomal RNA (bases 214-367)
Source: RNAcentral